UCAUGGUCUCUGUCAAGAAGUCUGGUGUAAUUCUGAUAGGUGCCUUGGUGAACUUCAAGUAACAUAUAAAGUCAGGUCUAUCAGAAUUACACCAGAACUAUCAACUCUCAGCUUAGCUAUGAUGGAGAUAUUUAUUGACUGAAGAUUGCAAUCCUAUGAAGUGUGCUUUUGGAAAGGUUAUCUAACCCUGUUUCUUUGAUCCAGCUUUACAUUAUAAAUGCUACCUACUUGUUCAUCUGUGUUUAAUAGUCCUGCUUCUUUGUUCACUUAUAAGCAGUAGCUCUACUUCUCUGUUGAAGUAUAUAUAAUAAACAAUCUUACCAUCUGGGG
Molecule: long non-coding RNA, 330 nt
Organism: Mastomys coucha (southern multimammate mouse)
Lineage: Eukaryota; Metazoa; Chordata; Mammalia; Rodentia; Muridae
Exons: 3
Source: RefSeq, a predicted model, not a curated record